AAACGACUCUCGGCAACGGAUAUCUCGGCUCUCGCAUCGAUGAAGAACGUAGCGAAAUGCGAUACUUGGUGUGAAUUGCAGAAUCCCGUGAACCAUCGAGUCUUUGAACGCAAGUUGCGCCCGAAGCCAUUCGGCCUGAGGGCACGUCUGCCUGGGCGUCACG
This 163-nucleotide ribosomal RNA is filed under the name Delarbrea balansae. RNAcentral's name for it is "5.8S ribosomal RNA". It matches the Rfam family "5.8S ribosomal RNA". From Rfam's summary of the family: 5.8S ribosomal RNA (5.8S rRNA) is a component of the large subunit of the eukaryotic ribosome. It is transcribed by RNA polymerase I as part of the 45S precursor that also contains 18S and 28S rRNA. Lineage: Eukaryota; Viridiplantae; Streptophyta; Magnoliopsida; Apiales; Myodocarpaceae. The record is from RNAcentral.